UACGUAGGCAGCGAGCGUUGUUCGGAGUUACUGGGCGUAAAGCGUGCGUAGGCGGUGUCCUAAGUCUGGUGUGAAAUCUCCCGGCUCAACUGGGAGGGUGCGCUAGAAACUGGGGUGCUGGAGUGUGGGAGAGGUAAGCGGAAUUCCUGGUGUAGCGGUGAAAUGCGUAGAUAUCAGGAGGAACACCUGCGGUGUAGACGGCUUACUGGACCAUUACUGACGCUGAGGCACGAAAGCGUGGGGAGCAAACAGG
This 253-nucleotide ribosomal RNA is filed under the name uncultured bacterium. RNAcentral's name for it is "partial 16S ribosomal RNA". It matches the Rfam family "Bacterial small subunit ribosomal RNA", at positions 524 to 776 of the family's 1533-position model. The record is from RNAcentral.